GAUGAACGCUGGCGGCGUGCCUAAUACAUGCAAGUCGAGCGAACGGACGAGAAGCUUGCUCCUCUGACGUUAGCGGCGGACGGGUGAGUAACACGUGGAUAACCUACCUAUAAGACUGGGAUAACUUCGGGAAACCGGAGCUAAUACCGGAUAAUAUUUUGAACCGCAUGGUUCAAAAGUGAAAGACGGUCUUGCUGUCACUUAUAGAUGGAUCCGCGCUGCAUUAGCUAGUUGGUAAGGUAACGGCUUACCAAGGCAACGAUGCAUAGCCGACCUGAGAGGGUGAUCGGCCACACUGGAACUGAGACACGGUCCAGACUCCUACGGGAGGCAGCAGUAGGGAAGCUUCCGCAAUGGGCGAAAGCCUGACGGAGCAACGCCGCGUGAGUGAUGAAGGUCUUCGGAUCGUAAAACUCUGUUAUUAGGGAAGAACAUAUGUGUAAGUAACUGUGCACAUCUUGACGGUACCUAAUCAGAAAGCCACGGCUAACUACGUG
RNAcentral lists this ribosomal RNA (497 nucleotides) under uncultured bacterium. Its description in RNAcentral is "partial 16S ribosomal RNA". It matches the Rfam family "Bacterial small subunit ribosomal RNA", at positions 28 to 507 of the family's 1533-position model. The record is from RNAcentral.